This is a non-coding RNA of Phalacrocorax carbo (great cormorant), 44 nucleotides long. NCBI's taxonomy places the organism in Eukaryota, Metazoa, Chordata, Aves, Suliformes, Phalacrocoracidae. The record is from Rfam.
UCAAAGGUGUUUCUUAACACCACACUGAAAGGAAAAGGUGAUAU